Molecule: microRNA precursor, 76 nt
Filed under: Myotis davidii
Lineage: Eukaryota; Metazoa; Chordata; Mammalia; Chiroptera; Vespertilionidae
Description: mir-9229 microRNA precursor family
Rfam family: mir-9229 microRNA precursor family
Source: Rfam by way of RNAcentral
GAGAGACCCCUAUGGAGCAGGACUUGCUUCAGUGGGGUUUUGGUUUUCACUGAGCCUGCUCCUUGAGUGUGUCACU